GCUGGCGGCGUGCUUAACACAUGCAAGUCGAGUGCGCGUUUCCGUAGCAAUACGGAAAUGGCGCACGGCGCACGGGUGCGUAACACGUGGGUAAUCUGCCCUUCGAUGGGGAAUAACUCGCCGAAAGGCGAGCUAAUUCCGCAUAACAUUCCUUGGACUCCGGUUCGAGGAUUCAAAGGCGUAAGUCGUCGGAGGUGGAGCCCGCGCACGAUUAGCUAGUUGGUGAGGUAAUGGCUCACCAAGGCUAUGAUCGUUAGCUGGUCUGAGAGGAUGGCCAGCCACACUGGAACUGAGACACGGUCCAGACUCCUACGGGAGGCAGCAGUGGGGAAUCUUGCACAAUGGGCGAAAGCCUGAUGCAGCGACGCCGCGUGGGGGAUGAAGCUUCUCGGAGUGUAAACCCCUUUCGACCGGGACGAAUACCUCGCAAGAGGGGUGACGGUACCGGUAUAAGAAGCCCCGG
Molecule: ribosomal RNA, 463 nt
Filed under: uncultured soil bacterium
Lineage: Bacteria
Description: bacterial SSU rRNA
Rfam family: Bacterial small subunit ribosomal RNA
Source: RNAcentral